AGAGUUUGAUCAUGGCUCAGAUUGAACGCUGGCGGCAUGCCUUACACAUGCAAGUCGAACGGUAACAGGUCUUCGGAUGCUGGCGAGUGGCGAACGGGUGAGUAAUACAUCGGAACGUGCCCGAUCGUGGGGGAUAACGAGGCGAAAGCUUUGCUAAUACCGCAUACGAUCUACGGAUGAAAUCGGGGGAUCUUCGGACCUCCGCGCGGACGCAGCGGCCGAUGGCGGAUCUAGGUAGCUGGGUGGGCUGGCCGUUUUUCUACCGGAAGCUGCUAAGCCCAUGUGUGCGGAUUCUCAGGCCCUCGUUUUCCGGGACACAGCUCUGACUCC
RNAcentral lists this ribosomal RNA (330 nucleotides) under uncultured bacterium. Its description in RNAcentral is "bacterial SSU rRNA". It matches the Rfam family "Bacterial small subunit ribosomal RNA", at positions 8 to 339 of the family's 1533-position model. The record is from RNAcentral.